UACAGAGGCCCCGAGCGUUAGGCGGAAUCACUGGGCUUAAAGCGUGUGUAGGCGGACUUCUAAGUACCUUGUGAAAUCCCACGGCUCAACCGUGGAACUGCUCGGUAUACUGGUUGUCUUGAGCCAUCUAGGGGCGAGCGGAACAAGUGGUGGAGCGGUGAAAUGCGUAGAUAUCACUUGGAACGCCAACGGUGAAAACAGCUCGCUGGGGAUGUGCUGACGCUGAGACACGAAAGCCAGGGGAGCAAACGGG
RNAcentral lists this ribosomal RNA (253 nucleotides) under uncultured bacterium. Its description in RNAcentral is "partial 16S ribosomal RNA". It matches the Rfam family "Bacterial small subunit ribosomal RNA", at positions 524 to 776 of the family's 1533-position model. The record is from RNAcentral.